GCGCGACGUCAUUGCUGGUGCUCGUUGGAGGCGAAGCCUUGGUGGCCAGGUGCAGCGGGCUCAGGAAGGGGCUCAGCA
This 78-nucleotide microRNA precursor is filed under the name Ectocarpus siliculosus. RNAcentral describes it as "miR3463 stem-loop (esi-MIR3463)". Lineage: Eukaryota; Phaeophyceae; Ectocarpales; Ectocarpaceae. The record is from miRBase by way of RNAcentral.